This is a long non-coding RNA of Neopsephotus bourkii (Bourke's parrot), 421 nucleotides long. RefSeq lists it as uncharacterized. NCBI's taxonomy places the organism in Eukaryota, Metazoa, Chordata, Aves, Psittaciformes, Psittacidae. The transcript is spliced from 3 exons. The record is from RefSeq and is a predicted model, not a curated record.
AGGAUGGUUUAUUUGGGGGUAUAGAGUAUGCCACGGCCAUAGGAGUAACUGCAGAGAUGAGCAGAGUUUAAGGAUACACAACUAACAGAUGAGGCAGAGGCAAAAAGAGACACACAAACAGAAUAGUUUUUAACCUGGCUUGAUUAAUGCUGUCAAGUUGCACAUCUGAGUGUGAGCUCAGUGGGACUGUUGCUUUUGUUUAAUACCACAAGACACCUCAGUCUGGAUUGUUGCAUUACAGUACAAAUAAAAACCAGAAACAAAACCACAUCUGCAUCAUACAAGGUGCAGCUCCUGCAGGAAGGCACUCACCUGCUCCAUCCCGUAUGACUGAACUGAGCUUGGAACUGAAGAGGACAUCCACGUGGUUCAAGAUGAAUUCCACAACCACUGACUGGAUGCGCACCUCCAUGAAGGCAGC